Molecule: transfer RNA, 69 nt
Filed under: Psittacus erithacus (grey parrot)
Lineage: Eukaryota; Metazoa; Chordata; Aves; Psittaciformes; Psittacidae
Description: tRNA-Ala
Rfam family: tRNA
About the family: Transfer RNA (tRNA) molecules are approximately 80 nucleotides in length.
Source: RNAcentral
AAGGUCCUAGCUUAAUUAAGGCGUCUGGGUUGCAUUCAGGAGAUGUAGGUUAGUGUCCUACGGGCCUUA